UACGGAGGGGGCAAGCGUUGUUCGGAAUUAUUGGGCGUAAAGGGCGCGUAGGCGGCUGAACAAGUCAAAGGUGAAAUCCCUCGGCUCAACUGAGGAACUGCCUUUGAAACUGUUCGGCUUGAGGCCGGGAGGGGGUAGCGGAAUUCCCAGUGUAGCGGUGAAAUGCGUAGAUAUUGGGAAGAACACCGGUGGCGAAGGCGGCGACCUGGUCCAUUACUGACGCUGAGGCGCGACAGCGUGGGGAGCAAACAGG
This 253-nucleotide ribosomal RNA is filed under the name uncultured bacterium. RNAcentral describes it as "partial 16S ribosomal RNA". It matches the Rfam family "Bacterial small subunit ribosomal RNA", at positions 524 to 776 of the family's 1533-position model. The record is from RNAcentral.